UUUGGUAGUUUGCUGAGCUUCCUUAAAACAAUUAUUUUGAAUUCUUUUUCAGGCAGUUCAUAGAUCUUUAUUUCUUUGAAGUCAUUUGCUGGAAUAUUAAUUGUGAUUGUUUGGUGGUGCCAUGCUUCCUUGAUUUUGUGGUGGUGUUUGAAGUCUUAUGUUGCUGUCUUCACAUCUGAAGAAACAGUCACAUCCUUCAGUCUAUUUACUGACUUUGGGAAAAUAAUGCAGUAAUAUAAAUUGCAAUGUCUUCUGUGGCCAUGGAAGAUUUAACAAGCCUUCAGCUUCCUCAUUUGUAGAAUUAGACCACCAGUUAUGAUUUGGACCUGACAAGAAAUGGAAUAUGCUAACCCCAAGUGUCGCCCAGUCAUUUCCCGUGGACAUACCAGAUACUGCCAAAUUUUACCUUUUACUUAUUUGCCAUUAAUCUAUGGAUUACCUGCUUUGUGGUAGUGGUGAUGCAGUGGUGCCUAAGGAUAUGGGAUAAGUUCUGCAGAAGCAUACAGUAGGAACAGAGCAAAGAGAUAAAGAGGAUCCUACAAAUUAACCAUAGAAUAUGAGAGAAAUGCCUGAGGGUCAGAUGGCAUUAAGAAUGAGGUAUAUGGAAGAAAUGUUCACCUGGGACAGAGAGAUACUCUGAUAGGUGAAGAAAAUCAAUCACAAGCAAGCUUUUGAGUUCGGAUCCUUUUUGUAUUGCACAUGACCUGGAGUGGGUCCCAGCUUCGUCACUUCUGUGAAAGAGCCAGCAACAGAAGCAGCAGUUCAGAUCAUCUAGUGCUGGAGCUGAGGGGGACUUACAUCAUUUCAGAAUGCUUCAGCUGUCCUCAAAUGAGAAUCACUCCCUGUCGCUAAAAGAAUACUCGUCAAGACUUCGGAUGUAAAGCUGAUCUCUCAGAUGAGUCCAAAUCCUUCCAGAGUAGAGCUAUUCCUCUUCUGGACUUAAACAGCAGGGAUGACAAAGUGAUAUUUAAUUCCAUGUUUUCUUUGGGGUGUUACUAGGGUACCAGGGCUUCUAGUGAUUUGCUCCUGCUGACCAUCAAGAGGUUGUUGUAUCCACCUUGCCAGUUGUUGAUGGCCCCCAAAGUGUGUCGUACAGCCAUGGAAAACCUACUACUCCCACUAGCAGUGCCCUAGGCCAGAUAAUUGUUCUCUGGCCUUUCUCUUGAGGUUGGAGAGAACCUCAUUACUGAGAAAGUUUGCUCCAUGGUAUCAGCUAUUAGAGACCUAAAAAGGUAACCCCCUUAUUUUGGUUUGCUAUCCCUGCUACUGAGGCUACCAAAAACAUUUCCCAAGGUUGGGGCUGGAGAUAGUAGAGGAUAUCAUUUAAUGUGUCACCUCACUUGAUAUUAUAAAUGUAAUGCAAUGUAUAUUGUAAAGUUGAAAGCACACUCAUUACCAGUGGCCUGAGAAGCCAUAUCUAGGGGCUUGAACUUCCAAGGGAGGAAGAUGACUUCAUGAGUUUUAAAGACGAUUGCACGAUAGCAUGAUAAAAAAGUUGUGUGUCCACCACAAAGUCACUACUUAGGCAUCAGAGGUAGUUAGUCGUCUGUUUACUACUGCAUGUAACUCUCCUAUACUUGGGCCAUGUUUGGGAGCCAGAACAAUGGAUCUGAUAUAAGCAUGAAGAUCUUCAGCUUCCACAAGUGUGCCUCACCUGGGCAGCACAUUUCUCAUGUGUGUCCCAAGACCAUAAAUUGAAGUUUUUCUUUUAUCUCUUUACCCACCUAUGCUCAGCCACAGUGAAAACACCACUGUAGAGACUUUUAUUCAAUAAUUCAAGGAUUUAAGAAAAGGGAAAUCAUGUGACUAGGAAACAGACGACUGAAAGGAUUAUAUGUGGGGUCGUGAAUAUCUAUUUCAUUGACCC
Callithrix jacchus (white-tufted-ear marmoset) is the source of this 1867-nucleotide long non-coding RNA. Lineage: Eukaryota; Metazoa; Chordata; Mammalia; Primates; Cebidae. The record is from Ensembl.